RNAcentral lists this ribosomal RNA (429 nucleotides) under Bacteroidota bacterium. RNAcentral's name for it is "Bacteroidetes bacterium partial 16S ribosomal RNA". It matches the Rfam family "Bacterial small subunit ribosomal RNA", at positions 355 to 776 of the family's 1533-position model. Lineage: Bacteria; Pseudomonadati; Bacteroidota. The record is from RNAcentral.
UAGGGAAUCUUCCGCAAUGGGCGAAAGCCUGACGGAGCAACGCCGCGUGAGUGAUGAAGGUCUUCGGAUCGUAAAACUCUGUUAUUAGGGAAGAAUAAAUGUGUAAGUAACUAUGCACGUCUUGACGGUACCUAAUCAGAAAGACACGGCUAACUACGUGCCAGCAGCCGCGGUAAUACGUAGGUGGCAAGCGUUAUCCGGAAUUAUUGGGCGUAAAGCGCGCGUAGGCGGUUUUUUAAGUCUGAUGUGAAAGCCCACGGCUCACCCGUGGAGGGUCCGUGGCAACUGGAAAACUAGAGUGCAGAAGAGGACAGUGGAAUUCCAUGUGUAGCGGUGAAAUGCGUAGAUAUAUGGAGGAACACCGGUGGCGAAAGCGGCUCUCUGGUAUGCAACUGACACUGAGGCUCGAAAGCGUGGGGAGCGAACAGG